RNAcentral lists this ribosomal RNA (412 nucleotides) under uncultured bacterium. Its description in RNAcentral is "bacterial SSU rRNA". It matches the Rfam family "Bacterial small subunit ribosomal RNA", at positions 917 to 1333 of the family's 1533-position model. The record is from RNAcentral.
GGGCCCGCACAAGCGGUGGAGCAUGUGGUUUAAUUCGAUGAUACGCGAGGAACCUUACCAGGGCUUAAAUGCAGAACGACCGGGAUAGAAAUAUCCCUUUCUUCGGACGGUCUGCAAGGUGCUGCAUGGUUGUCGUCAGCUCGUGCUGUGAAGUGUCGGGUUAAGUCCCAUAACGAGCGCAACCCCUAUUUCUAGUUGCCAGCGGUUCGGCCGGGGACUCUAGAGAAACUGCCAGCGUAAGCUGUGAGGAAGGUGGGGAUGACGUCAAAUCAUCACGGCCCUUACGUCCUGGGCCACACACGUGCUACAAUGGUGGGGACAACGAGUCGCAAACCCGCGAGGGUAAGCUAAUCUUCAAACCCCAUCUCAGUUCGGAUCGGAGUCUGCAACUCGACUCCGUGAAGUUGGAAUC